CAGUAACGUCACGAAGAAAGAUUUAAUUACUUCAAGGGAAAAUCUCUCCUAACUGACUCUGAGCGGAACCCUUCUUUCUCAAUGGAGACUAACUGUUCUCCAUCCAGUUUUUAAUGGCGGCGUGACGCAGCUUGCAGUGGCCACUCCAGAGCUGAUUAUCUGUUAUUUGUGAAGAGGGG
Hypanus sabinus (Atlantic stingray) is the source of this 179-nucleotide long non-coding RNA. RefSeq lists it as uncharacterized. The transcript is spliced from 3 exons. Lineage: Eukaryota; Metazoa; Chordata; Chondrichthyes; Myliobatiformes; Dasyatidae. The record is from RefSeq and is a predicted model, not a curated record.